AAUUGUUUCUUAACAUUAUAAAUGAAGGCUGCGUACGAUGACCGUCAACAUGGCCGUAAAAGCGACGAAAAACAAGCAGAUCAGAACAAUUGUGGAGAUUUCCAGAUCCUUGUCGGUGGGCUCGUGUGCCAUUGUGAAUAUAUGAUAUAGUUGAAUUUCACUUUUGGACUACGCGUUGUGCAUCUCUUUAAAGGUGAUGAGUAAAUAAAUCCGAUGGGUGUUUAUUGCGUACGCUUUAAAGCAUUCGGUUGGCUAACUUGGCAUUUAUCAGAUAAGAUAUGGCAAAGCCAACUAGAUGUUUGUGACGUCAAGGCUUUUAAGGAAUUGAUUAACCCAACACGCAGUAGACUAUAAAAUACUAAAGUGGAGUCUAAAUUUACAACUGCCAAUUACCUGAUCGAUUAUAAUAAGUAUAAAAAAGCAUUUCUUUUUUAAAGCAAGUGGCUCAGCCUGCCCGAGUGGAAUCGGGUUAAACCAAUAAAAGACUUGACCAUCUCGUAUCGCCA
Drosophila grimshawi is the source of this 506-nucleotide long non-coding RNA. RefSeq lists it as uncharacterized. NCBI's taxonomy places the organism in Eukaryota, Metazoa, Arthropoda, Insecta, Diptera, Drosophilidae. The record is from RefSeq and is a predicted model, not a curated record. The transcript is spliced from 3 exons.